RNAcentral lists this ribosomal RNA (142 nucleotides) under Peniophora sp. RNAcentral's name for it is "5.8S ribosomal RNA". It matches the Rfam family "5.8S ribosomal RNA". From Rfam's summary of the family: 5.8S ribosomal RNA (5.8S rRNA) is a component of the large subunit of the eukaryotic ribosome. It is transcribed by RNA polymerase I as part of the 45S precursor that also contains 18S and 28S rRNA. Lineage: Eukaryota; Fungi; Basidiomycota; Agaricomycetes; Russulales; Peniophoraceae. The record is from RNAcentral.
CAACUUUCAACAACGGAUCUCUUGGCUCUCGCAUCGAUGAAGAACGCAGCGAAAUGCGAUAAGUAAUGUGAAUUGCAGAAUUCAGUGAAUCAUCGAAUCUUUGAACGCACCUUGCGCCCUUUGGCAUUCCGAAGGGCACGCC